GUUAAGAUUAUAUGUGAUUUGCUAAAAUUUUUAUGAAACAGUAAAUAAGUGAAAGGCGGUGAAUCAUAUAAUCUUAUUUGAUUAUUUGUAUAGAUAGAUUAUUAGGAUUUUCAGCCUGUUAAGAUUAUAUGAAAUUAUAUAGAUAAAUUAUUAGAAUUUAAAGAUUGUUAAGAUUAUAUGUGAUGGGAUGAAAAAAUAAUUUAUUUUUUAAAUAAAAUUUUGACAUGAUUAUUUUACCAAUUUUAAAUUUUUGCGGAAUUAUUUUAUAAAAGAAGUU
RNAcentral lists this long non-coding RNA (277 nucleotides) under Ananas comosus (pineapple). RNAcentral describes it as "long non-coding RNA (ACOM_LNC000025)". The record is from RNAcentral. Lineage: Eukaryota; Viridiplantae; Streptophyta; Magnoliopsida; Poales; Bromeliaceae.